RNAcentral lists this ribosomal RNA (433 nucleotides) under uncultured Lachnospiraceae bacterium. RNAcentral describes it as "partial 16S ribosomal RNA". It matches the Rfam family "Bacterial small subunit ribosomal RNA", at positions 341 to 792 of the family's 1533-position model. Lineage: Bacteria; Bacillati; Bacillota; Clostridia; Lachnospirales; Lachnospiraceae. The record is from RNAcentral.
ACGGAAGGCAGCAGUAGGGAAUAUUGGUCAAUGGGGGAAACCCUGAACCAGCGACGCCGCGUGAGUGAAGAAGUAUUUCGGUAUGUAAAGCUCUAUCAGCAGGGACGAUAAUGACGGUACCUGACUAAGAAGCCCCGGCUAACUACGUGCCAGCAGCCGCGGUAAUACGUAGGGGGCAAGCGUUAUCCGGAUUUACUGGGUGUAAGGGAGCGCAGGUGGCCAUGCAAGUCAGAUGUGAAAUCCCGGGGCUCAACCCCGGAGCUGCAUUUGAAACUGCGUAGCUAGAGUGCAGGAGAGGUAAGCGGAAUUCCUAGUGUAGCGGUGAAAUGCGUAGAUAUUAGGAGGAACACCAGUGGCGAAAGCGGCUUGCUGGACUGCAACUGACACUGAGGCUCGAAAGCGUGGGGAGCAAACAGGAUUAGAUACCCUGGUA